This is a non-coding RNA of Acanthosepion pharaonis, 94 nucleotides long. NCBI's taxonomy places the organism in Eukaryota, Metazoa, Mollusca, Cephalopoda, Sepiida, Sepiidae. The record is from the annotation of a GenBank genome assembly.
UGCAUUACCGGUCCCCGUACGAUCACCGAAGUUAAGCAAAUUUGAGCCUAGUCAGUACCUGGAUUGGUAACCGUUCGUAAAUACCAUGUGCUGU